This is a long non-coding RNA of Thalassophryne amazonica, 150 nucleotides long. RefSeq lists it as uncharacterized. Lineage: Eukaryota; Metazoa; Chordata; Actinopteri; Batrachoidiformes; Batrachoididae. The transcript has 3 exons. The record is from RefSeq and is a predicted model, not a curated record.
UGAAACUGCCACAUCAGGCCGGCCCUCAUGUCGUUACAACUGUGGCUAUAACAUGGGAAGCUGCUCCUGCUCAAGCUCUUGUCGGUACUACGGAAAUUGUUGCUAUGACUACAACUAUUAUUGCUACAACACUAGCCCUUCACCCCCAAC